Molecule: ribosomal RNA, 878 nt
Filed under: uncultured Chloroflexota bacterium
Lineage: Bacteria; Bacillati; Chloroflexota
Description: bacterial SSU rRNA
Rfam family: Bacterial small subunit ribosomal RNA
Source: RNAcentral
GAGUUUGAUCAUGGCUCAGAUUGAACGCUGGCGGCAUGCUUAACACAUGCAAGUCGAACGGAAACGAUUGGUACUUGUACCAAGGCGUCGAGUGGCGGACGGGUGAGUAACGCGUAGGAACCUACCCAGUAGCGGGGGAUAGCCCAGAGAAAUUUGGAUUAAUACCGCAUAGGCUCUACGGAGCAAAGAUGGCCUCUAUUUAUAUGCUAUCGCUAUUGGAUGGGCCUGCGUUAGAUUAGUUAGUUGGUGGGGUAAUGGCCUACCAAGACGACGAUCGAUAGCUGGUCUGAGAGGACGAUCAGCCACACGGGGACUGAGACACGGCCCCGACUCCUACGGGGGGCAGCAGUGAGGAAUAUUGCACAAUGGGGGCAACCCUGAUGCAGCAACGCCGCGUGGAGGAUGAAGGCCCUUGGGUCGUAAACUCCUUUUUUGGGGGAAGAGCAAGGACGGUACCCCAAGAAUAAGUCACGGCUAACUACGUGCCAGCAGCCGCGGUAAUACGUAGGUGGCAAGCGUUAUCCGGAAUUACUGGGCGUAAAGCGCACGCAGGCGGCCAGUCAAGUCUGACGUGAAAGCUCCUGGCUUAACUGGGAGAGGUCGUUGGAAACUGGUUGGCUUGAGGCAAUGAGAGGGACACGGAAUUCCCGGUGUAGUGGUGGAAUGCGUAGAUAUCGGGAGGAACACCAGUGGCGAAAGCGGUGUCCUGGCAUUGACCUGACGCUCAUGUGCGAAAGCGUGGGGAGCGAACGGGAUUAGAUACCCCGGUAGUCCACGCCGUAAACGAUGAACACUAGGUGUGGGUGGUUUCAAACCCAUCUGUGCCAAAGCAAACGCGAUAAGUGUUCCGCCUGGGGAGUACGGCCGCAAGGCUAAAA